AGCAGCCACUCAUUUAAAGAGUGCGUAAUAGCUCACUGGUCGAGCGUCUCUGCGCGGAAAAUUUAACGGGGCUAAGAUACAAACCGAAGCUUAGGCUGCAUCGUAAGAUGCGGGGUAGGGGAGCGUUGUGUAAGCGGAGAAACAGUAGCGUAAGCGGCUGUGGAGUUUACAGAAGUGAGAAUGCCGGAAUGAGUAGCGCGAAUGUGGUGAGAAUCCACAUGGCCGGAAACCUCAGGUUUUUGGAGGAAGGUUCGUCCGCUCCAAGUUAGGCGGGAGCUAAGGUCAGGCCGAAAGGCGUAGCCGAUGCACAGACGGUAGAGAUUCCGUCCCCACCGAAAGAUUUAAGCACAGGGACACUUUUUGAAGGUCGGAGCCAGGUGUUGGUUCUGGUAGUGAUCGAGGGAAAUAUAGUACCGAAGUCCGGCUGGAAGAGAGGCGAGAAAAGCUGUGUGUAUAUCUAAGGUGCCCGUACCGCAAACCGACACAGGUAGGUAGGAAGAAGAUUCUAAGGCCAACGGGAGAAGGGUUGUUAAGGAACUCGGCAAAUUGACCCCGUAACUUCGGGAGAAGGGGUGCUCCAGAGAUGGAGCCGCAGAGAAUCGGCCCAAGCAACUGUUUACCAAAAACACAGGUUUGUGCUAAAUCGAAAGAUGACGUAUACGAGCUGACGCCUGCCCGGUGCUGGAAGGUUAAAAGGAGAUGUGCAAGCAUUGAAUUGAAGCCCCAGUGAACGGCGGCCGUAACUAUAACGGUCCUAAGGUAGCGAAAUUCCUUGUCAGGUAAGUUCUGACCCGCAUGAAAGGCGUAAUGAUCUGGGCACUGUCUCAACAGCCCGCCCGGCGAAAUUGUAGUACCGGUGAAGAUGCCGGUUACCCGCGACAAGACGGAAAGACCCCAUGGAGCUUUACUGUAGCCUAAUAUUGGGUUUCGAUGUUGCAUGCACAGGAUAGAUGGGACACUGGGAAGCAAGUGCUUUGGCAUUUGUGGAGUGGCCGUUGGGAUACCAUCCUUGCGAUAUUGGAAUUCUAACCUGCGGCUCUGAAUCGAGUCGGGGGACAUUGUUAGGUGGGCAGUUUGACUGGGGCGGUCGCCUCCUAAAAAGUAGCGGAGGCGCUCAAAGCUUGGCUCAGCAUGGAUGGAAAUCAUGCAAUGAGUGUAAACGUAUAAGCCAAGUUGACUGCG
RNAcentral lists this ribosomal RNA (1182 nucleotides) under human gut metagenome. Its description in RNAcentral is "bacterial LSU rRNA". It matches the Rfam family "Bacterial large subunit ribosomal RNA", at positions 1111 to 2377 of the family's 2925-position model. The record is from RNAcentral.